Molecule: ribosomal RNA, 449 nt
Filed under: uncultured bacterium
Lineage: Bacteria
Description: partial 16S ribosomal RNA
Rfam family: Bacterial small subunit ribosomal RNA
Source: RNAcentral
AACGAACGCUGGCGGCAUGCCUAACACAUGCAAGUCGAACGAGAUCUUCGGGUCUAUUGGCGCACGGGUGCGUAACGCGUGGGAAUCUGCCCUUUGGUUCGGAAUAACAGUUGGAAACGACUGCUAAUACAGGACGAUGACGAAAGUCCAAAGAUUUAUCGUCAGAGGAUGAGCCCGCGUAGGAUUAGCUAGUUGGUGUGGUAAAGGCGAGCCAAGGCGACGAUCCUUAGCUCGCCUGAGAGGAUGAUCAGCCACACUGGGACUGAGACACGGCCCAGGCUCCUACGGGAGGCAGCAGUGGGGAAUAUUGGACAAUGGGCGAAAGCCUGAUCCAGCUAUGCCGCGUGAGUGAUGAAGGCCUUAGGGUUGUAAAGCUCUGUUACCCGGGAUGAUAAUGACAGUACCGGGAGAAUAAGCUCCGGCUAACUCCGUGCCAGCCGCCGCCGUAA